This 90-nucleotide microRNA precursor is filed under the name Erinaceus europaeus (western European hedgehog). RNAcentral's name for it is "miRNA (ENSEEUG00000019453.1)". The record is from RNAcentral. Lineage: Eukaryota; Metazoa; Chordata; Mammalia; Eulipotyphla; Erinaceidae.
CUUGUGUGCAUUGUCCAUAUGCAUGUGCACAUGUGUGUAUACACAUACACACACACACACACACACACACACACACAUACCACAUACACA